Molecule: ribosomal RNA, 253 nt
Filed under: uncultured bacterium
Lineage: Bacteria
Description: partial 16S ribosomal RNA
Rfam family: Bacterial small subunit ribosomal RNA
Source: RNAcentral
UACGGGGGGGGCAAGCGUUGUUCGGAAUUACUGGGCGCAAAGGGCUCGUAGGCGGCCAACUAAGUCAGACGUGAAAUCCCUCGGCUUAACCGGGGAACUGCAUCUGAUACUGGAUGGCUUGAGUUCGGGAGAGGGAUGCGGAAUUCCAGGUGUAGCGGUGAAAUGCGCAGAUAUCUGGAGGAACACCGGUGGCGAAGGCGGCAUCCUGGACCGACACUGACGCUGAGGAGCGAAAGCCAGGGGAGCAAACGGG